Molecule: RNase P RNA, 343 nt
Filed under: bovine gut metagenome
Description: Bacterial RNase P class A
Rfam family: Bacterial RNase P class A
About the family: Ribonuclease P (RNase P) is a ubiquitous endoribonuclease, found in archaea, bacteria and eukarya as well as chloroplasts and mitochondria.
Source: RNAcentral
UCGGUCUGCCGCUGGCGCUUUCGGGCGCGAGAGGAAAGUCCGGGCAACAUAGGGCAUCCUGCUUCUUAAUGUGGAAGUUAUCCGCGAGGGUAAAGUAGCGCAGAAGAAAAUAACCGCCACGCCUGAGGUGUGGUAAGGGUGAGAAGGUGGGGCAAGAGCCCACCAGACAGGUGGCGACACCUUGUGCUGUGCGCCUCAGGAGUUGCAAGUUCAUGUAUACCAGAGUUUGAGGGCGGCCCGUCUAAUCUGGAGGGUAGAAUGCUAGAGGGCGGUGGUGACACCGUCAGUGGAUAAAUGGCAGACGGUCUGAAAAGACUACAGAACCCGGCUUAUAGAUUCUCUG